Helianthus annuus (common sunflower) is the source of this 2615-nucleotide long non-coding RNA. RefSeq lists it as uncharacterized. Lineage: Eukaryota; Viridiplantae; Streptophyta; Magnoliopsida; Asterales; Asteraceae. The record is from RefSeq and is a predicted model, not a curated record. The transcript is spliced from 14 exons.
CAUCUUCCUUCCCCGUUCUCUCUCCAUUUUCCAGAAACCCUAAAAUCGCAAGCCGCCUCCUCCUGUACAAACACACAUUCUUAUGAAAUCAGAGAGAUGAAACUUCGGUGUAGUUGCAGUCGGUGGAAAAAAGAUCCAGAUGAAGAUGGAGCGGUGGAGAUACACGAGCCAGAAGGAUGAAGCCUUGCAGAUCUGAGUUUUUAGCUACAUUCAAGAACGGUACAAAAACAUUCUUGCGUCAAUAAGAAUGAUGAAGCUUCGGUGUAAUUGAAAUCAGAUGAAGAUGGCAAGCAAAACUUUGCAGAUCUAAGACUUUUUCUUUCUCUAAUAACUUUGCAGGAAACAAGCAGAGCUAGGGAAUAUGACAAGCCCGGAUCUGAUAGGUUUGCUUCUGUAUGGUUGCAAUCGGUGGAUGAAGAUGCAAAUCAGAUGAAGAUGGAGUGAUGGAGAUGACAAGCAAAACUUUGCAGAUCUGAGUUUUUAUGGUUGUAAACCCUAUAUACUUUUACGAAACUUCUAAUUUGUUUUUGAAAUUUUUGAUUUUUUCAGUUGUUUAGUGGAUGAUUGUGGCAUUAGCUUCACUUGAGAUGUGAUUUCUUGUAUGUUGAAGGCUAUGAUGAUUUAGCUCUCCGCUUUAGCAGGGUGCAAGUUAAGAUGCACGUGCAAUGCUCUUGAUGAAGGAUAGAGUUAGGGCCACUAUUGGUGUAGUUUCCUACCCUAAGUUUCAAGCGGGUUCUAUUUCUAAAGCCGGCUUACAAUCCGUACACUGAGCCGAGCAAGAAAUAUACACCAGGCCAACUAUGAUACUUUAUGGCAUUGAUAACAUCCGAGAUCUCUUCGGUCACAAGGUGGAUCUUGGCCUCGUUAAGAGUAACCCUAUAUGUCGUAUUGGCUUAUAAUACAAAUGCUAGGAUGAAUGGUCGGUUAAAAAACAUUAACUAUCAGUUUUUGAUUUUGGCUGCAUAAUAUGCUAUAUUUGCAGUCUGAUCCAAACAUAAAGAGUUUCAGUCUUUGGCUGCUACUGUUCCUGAUUAUGCAAGGCCAAUGGAUGACGGGAUUUAUCGCAUUGUUGAUAUAUAGCUAAAAGUAAGAAGUAGCUCAGAACUAAAGGUGGAAAUAUGGACGGGUUGGGUAACAAGUCAAAAUCGGGUAAUUUCUGGGACAGGCCUAACAAUAAACAGGCCAGGGAGGAGAAAUGCAUUCCGACCGCAAACAAUUAAGGAACUAAUUCACGCUUUCAAUGAUGCUAGAGAUGAUAGUACAAUAGGAGUUAUUAUUCUCACUGCAAAGGGAACCAAAGCUUUCUGUAGUGGUGGUGAGCCGAGGCAAGAGACACGAGCUUGUUAAACGACAUGUUUCGAGUAACCGACAGGAAGAUAUUAUGCUGGAAACAAACACAUCGAUGAACUGGAAACACUUUGUCAAAAGAGGUCCUUAGCAGCGUUUCACUUGGAUGAAAAUAAGUGGGGUGUAAAUAUUCAACCGUUAUCGGGAUGUUCAUAGAUCAGCGGUUGAGAGACAACUGGGCUUUGAUUCAUGCCGUUGAUCAAGCUAACAGGCUCAAUGUGCCUGUUGCGGACUUGCGGUUGCGUUUAAUUUGUUCGAUCAGUUUCUUGGUGCAAAAGCUCGUCAGUUGGGGUUUAUGUUUAGGGGGUUGCAGCAGCUGAGUCAUGAGAUUGAAGAGACGCUUCAUAUACCUUUUUUCUUGUUUCAGGGAGAGGCCGUUGACACUAUUCCAAGUUUUGUUAAAGAAUGUGGAGCUUCACUUUUGAUAACCGACCCAUUUACCACUUUUGUUAAAGAAUUUGGAGCUUCACUGUUGAAAUAGCGGUCUAUCUAAAUGACAAGGGCUUCGCAUUUUUAAACAAGUAAAAGAUAAUAAUUCAAGUGAUUGGCAGUAGGGUGGUCGACCAGCUAUAAUGGAAGUUGGUGCGGUUAAGCGAACUUCAGAGGCCGUAUUUAGCACUUUCUAAUUGUCCUAGAAAAGGUACAUAGAAGAGACUGGUCAUACCUCUUAAAAAACAGUCUGGCAUCACAUAAUGUAUAGCUUUGGAAGUUACCAACUGAAUUCAUUCUCGAGGCGUGCAUUGCUACGUCAAAAGAGGCAGGCUGCAAGGUUAGACAACCUCCUAUAUACCCCAGGUGCAGAUUUUUCAUGUUUUUCUGACUGGCCCUGGAGAUUAUUGUAUUGGGGCAUUUGUAACUCAUAGUCUAUAUGAGUCAAUUACGGAAGCCUUAGAUAGCGAUUUAGGCACCAAAAAGGUGAAUUUUUUUCAGUUUGACCCAUUUAGCCCAAUUUUUAGUUAAUUUAUCUUUAUUUUAUCCAUUUGGCCCACUUUUUUGUUAAAAAGAUUACUUUAAUCCUACAAAAGAAUACAAGAAUUUAUCUGGAUCUUAUGGCUACAAGGAUUGUGAUGAUAACAUUUAAGAAGUAUUUACAUCACUGCAAUACCAUUUUUGUUCUGUUUUGUUGGCUUAAGAUUCAAGUGGAAGCAUAGCAAUUUCAACUUGUUUGUAUUAAAAUUGGUUGAUUCAGGUUGUAUUUGUUUGAUAACAGGUCAAACGGGUUAAAAUUCUUGUAAAUUAUUAUUAUAUAAAAAAACUUUUUUUUAUUA